Molecule: ribosomal RNA, 429 nt
Filed under: Gemmatimonadota bacterium
Lineage: Bacteria; Pseudomonadati; Gemmatimonadota
Description: Gemmatimonadetes bacterium partial 16S ribosomal RNA
Rfam family: Bacterial small subunit ribosomal RNA
Source: RNAcentral
UAGGGAAUCUUCGGCAAUGGACGAAAGUCUGACCGAGCAACGCCGCGUGAGUGAAGAAGGUUUUCGGAUCGUAAAACUCUGUUGUUAGAGAAGAACAAGGACGUUAGUAACUGAACGUCCCCUGACGGUAUCUAACCAGAAAGCCACGGCUAACUACGUGCCAGCAGCCGCGGUAAUACGGAGGUGGCAAGCGUUGUCCGGAUUUAUUGGGCGUAAAGCGAGCGCAGGCGGUUUCUUAAGUCUGAUGUGAAAGCCCCCGGCUCAACCGGGGAGGGUCAUUGGAAACUGGGAGACUUGAGUGAAGAAGAGGAGAGUGGAAUUCCAUGUGUAGCGGUGAAAUGCGUAGAUAUAUGGAGGAACACCAGUGGCGAAGGCGGCUCUCUGGUCUGUAACUGACGCUGAGGCUCGAAAGCGUGGGGAGCAAACAGG